GAACUAGCUUUGGCAGCACAUAUACUGAAAUUGUAACAAUACAGAGAAGAUUAGCUUGGUUCUUGAACAAGGAUGACAUGCAAGUUCCUGGAGUGUUCCACUUGUUU
This 107-nucleotide small nuclear RNA is filed under the name Meriones unguiculatus (Mongolian gerbil). Lineage: Eukaryota; Metazoa; Chordata; Mammalia; Rodentia; Muridae. The record is from RNAcentral.